This 253-nucleotide ribosomal RNA is filed under the name uncultured bacterium. RNAcentral describes it as "partial 16S ribosomal RNA". It matches the Rfam family "Bacterial small subunit ribosomal RNA", at positions 524 to 776 of the family's 1533-position model. The record is from RNAcentral.
UACAGAGGGUGCAAGCGUUAAUCGGAAUUACUGGGCGUAAAGCGCACGUAGGCGGUUGGUUAAGUUGGAUGUGAAAGCCCCGGGCUCAACCUGGGAAUUGCAUUCAAAACUGGCCAACUAGAAUACGGGAGAGGGGGGUAGAAUUCCAAGUGUAGCGGUGAAAUGCGUAGAGAUUUGGAGGAAUACCAGUGGCGAAGGCGGCCCCCUGGCCCGAUAUUGACGCUGAGGUGCAAAAGCGUGGGGAGCAAACAGG